Long non-coding RNA from Bombyx mori (domestic silkworm), 3713 nucleotides. RefSeq lists it as uncharacterized. The record is from RefSeq and is a predicted model, not a curated record. The transcript has 2 exons. NCBI's taxonomy places the organism in Eukaryota, Metazoa, Arthropoda, Insecta, Lepidoptera, Bombycidae.
UCGUAUGUAUGCAGUAGGCAGCGGCUUGGCUCUGCUCCUGGCAUUGCUGUAGUCCAUGGGCGACGGUAACCACUUACCAUCAAGUGGGCCGUACGCUCGUCUGCCUACAAAGAGGCAAUAAAAAAAAUGUAUGAAAUUAUUGUGAAGUGACGAAUUUGAUAAAUUGCGCUCAAGAAUACGUUGAUAUUGAACCAAUAUUGGUUAAUUAAUGUUAUCUAUAGUACUUUACAACAGUAUAAUUUAACUGUUCGCUGAACCGUAUUAGUGUUAUUGAUUGUACAAUUAGGUACAUAAUCUCGAAUACCAAACUAGUGAAUCAUUCUGUUUUUCAGUUCAUUUGAAAUUAAGGCAACAUUGCGAUUCGUUUUACGCAAAUAAUUGAGACAUUUCAGAUACACUAUUAAACUGUAAAUUUAUAAUCUUACAGAGUAAUUAAAAUGCUUUCACCAUGGUAAAAUUCUUAGGAGGAAAACCUUUUUUUUAAGGAUCAAUGAAUUUUUAAACACACUUUUCAGGGAUUUUUUUUCUUUUAUUCUAUUAAGAUUGGACUCAAAAUAAGACUUUGCGUAGAGCUACAUAUGGAUAAAAAUAGUUUAAUAAUAGUUGGGCUAUUAUUAUACCUCUUUUGUUAAAAAAAUAAUAGACACGUAAACUAAAUUUCUUUAUAAUAUUUUUUGUCUCAGAUUGUUGUCAACUAAAAAAGAUGGGUUUUAAUUCAAACAACCUAUGCUGUUACAUUGUGUUGCGUUUAUUUGAUUGAAGCUGUAGAUCGAUCAGAUAUCUAAGUAUUUAAGUCCUGUUUAAAAUUAUAUCGUUUUGAAUCUAAACAAACAUUUGCACAAAUUCCGGAAGUUUUGCAUACGUUAGAUGCUCUGUAAAUAGGCAAUUCAAAAAUAAUAUUUCUUAAAGGUUACAUUAUUUUUCAUCUAAAAUGCAUCAUGGAUUGUUAUCACCUGCCAGUCACCAACGAAAACCACAUGGUGGUCGAAACCUUGACAUUCCGAGCGUUAAAAAUAAUUCUCUAUUUCAGUUAAACGUAUUCUAAAACGACUUUCGUUCUACUUCUCACACAGUAAGGUUUGGAUUACUUUGAAAGUUGCUUGUUUAAUGGUAGCCCGCAUUUGGGGUGAAUUCUUUUACGACAUUCGCCACCCCUGCUGCGCCUGCGCACGUGGUGCAAGGGGAACGAGGGAACUACGGCAGAUGUUCCAUUUGUAAAACUGCCUAUAUAGUUAUCCAUGCGUAGUUAACUGUAUUUUUUUUACUAUGAAUAACUGAGCAUUGAUUCAGGCAUAUUAUAACGUGGACGUUUUAAAAUUGGAAUACAUAUUUGAACUUAUUAUGUAAUACCUACUUACCUACUUACCAUUUGUUAAUAUAGACAUGUUUGUUAGACUGUAUCUGCUUAGUUUUUUUUAUUAUUAUUAAACGAAUUAAAAAAAAAAUUAUAUCAUAGAUAUGCCAAUAAAAUUCGAUUUAAUACACUGUAUACCUAGGUAGUAUUGUUUGGUAAUGCUUAUCUAGUUUAAAGCGAAAUUUUAACGGAAAUUCUUUGCUGGGCGUCCGGUUUAGUGUGUGUUUUUGAUAAAACUGUUUACUGUAUAAUACUUAUAAUACUUUACAUAUCGUUGACGUAUAAUAAUAUAUUCUUUUUACAUUUAACAUCAAAACGUUUUUAAGGUAUAAUCAACGAAUAUGAAUUUUUAAACAGCUACAGAGCCUUAAUGAGAUUGAUACGCGUUCUAAUUAUUCUAAGAUUCCAUUGUUUUAUGUACCUACUCAGCAUAAAUCAAAUUUUAAAGGCAACAAGCUUACAGAAUAAUUAAGGCUGGGAAGAUCAUAAUAAUUUUGUUUUUCGUUAAUAAUGAAUUUUCAGCAUAUUAAAAUAUUCUAGAGCGAAAAUGUAUUUGGCAAUUGGAAUUAAUUUAGGUAAUAAUAACUAUCGUGUUUUAUACAUUUAUAUUUGUAGAUUAUUUGGAUUGAUUUGAUAAAGAGCAGAUAUAUCCUAAAUUGUUUACCGCAAACGUCCAAAUAUCUAUACGAAUGCAUAAAAUAACCAACUAAAAUGAAUAAAAUGAUUUAUAAAUACGAUGAGUAUGAUGGUCUUGAGCAAUCAGUGAACGUUUUAUCGUGUCGUUAUCAACGUGCGGGCCACAUGCAUGUGUACCGCGCGAAUGUUCGCAUUCCACGCUAUUAUGUUCGCGAGAUUCCACGCCGUGGACUAGCUAUCAGCCUUCGCCGAAUACCGAAGUACUUAGAGGCGAAAUUUUUUGUACUCGCCAAUUGCAAAUCGAACCGGUGUGUUUUAAUAUUUUUAAUAAAAGAAACAAUGCUGCUGUAGCUGGUAACAAAUGGCCGGACCAGAUACGGUCCACGUUGCUAUCCACAAAGCCGAGGAUAGGCAGGAAUGGCGCAGGAUAAUACAGGAGAAAGUUUUUAGAGGAGGCCACAACCCUCAGCAUUGAGGAUUAUUGACGCAAGGAGGAGGAAUAAAAGAAAAUAUACUACUUCUUUGUAUACUGAACUACAUUGUUUCGUUAAAUUUCAAAUGUCAUCGGUAGAUCGCAGGGUGUUUCGUCAGUAGACAGUAGAUCUUAGUUCUGGUAAUCAAGUAGGCCACCCCUGGUCUAGAAUUACAAAAAGAGUUGUUUUACGAAACGCAAGGGCCGUUCGCGGGAUAGCAGCGGUCUGGGUUGUAAGUGGUUUGGUACGUCUUGACUUGUUCCGGCACACGGAAUCAUCUUCAAAGGCCUCUUAGAAGACGAAGCCCCACACCUUUGGCAGUGAUCCCGCCGAACGCCCAACGGUCUUUGCCACCACCACAUGCCGUCCGCGUAAACUCUAUGGCCGUCCUCAUCAAGGCCCGUACUGUCGUUUCCUAUAUAACUAUCGUAUUUAUCGUACCCUGAUCUAACGUAUGUUGGGGAGCUGCCAUUGUUGUACUUCGACCAAUUCCUUUCCGACCAAGUCGAUUCGCUGUCGCAUGGUGUGACUGGUGCACUUUGAAUCAUUUUCGGCGGGUGGUAGAACUUCGACUCGUCUGUAAGGGAUCCUCGCUUCUGGAAAUUUAAAUUAGGUAUGUAACGGUAGAUGCCCGAGGGUAUUUGUUGGAUGAUAGUAUCUAUACACUUUGAGAAGGCGGCACGACAUGAGAACCCUCUUGUCGUGGCCGUUGGAAACUACAUACCCGAGCCUGUAGACCGAAUGGUAAACACAAGCCUUGGCAAGAGCAGUGCUUCGCAGAAUCUACCACCGGAUCAGAAACCUUCAAGAUAUCUUAUUUCGCAAUAAGAUAUUGGUUCUGCAUUAUACGAGUAGGUAUAUUACCAAUAACGUAUCAAUCAGUGCUUGUUCUAAAUAACUUUUACUUGACAGCAAAGUAAAAAAUAGAUAUUCUGUAAUGCAACGUAACAUAUCAAUAUUGACAACGCCUAGAUUGAGAACAUUCCUAUGCUUUAUCGAAUGGUACGAAAGUAAAUUGAAAUUUUGCAUUAUUUCACUUUAAAGGUUCGGACUAUUUUGAUAGACCACUGUAAAUUUUCAUAAUAGCACACCGUAAUAUACCUGCUGUAUCUUUUUCAGAAUUUCUCUAGAUAAAGCGUUUGUCUAGAAGAGAUCGCUUUUAGUGAUAAGACCGCUUAUUGUACCUGGCUUUUGGCUAUUUUUAAAUCUUAUUUGUGUAAUGGUGUGCAAUAAAGUAUAUUCGCUCUCUC